AGUGAACGCUGGCGGUAGGCCUAACACAUGCAAGUCGAACGGCAGCACAGUAAGAGCUUGCUCUUACGGGUGGCGAGUGGCGGACGGGUGAGGAAUACAUCGGAAUCUACUUUUUCGUGGGGAUAACGUAGGGAAACUUACGCUAAUACCGCAUACGACCUACGGGUGAAAGCAGGGGAUCUUCGGACCUUGCGCGAUUGAAUGAGCCGAUGUCGGAUUAGCUAGUUGGCGGGGUAUAGGCCCACCAAGGCGACGAUCCGUAGCUGGUCUGAGAGGAUGAUCAGCCACACUGGAACUGAGACACGGUCCAGACUCCUACGGGAGGCAGCAGUGGGGAAUAUUGGACAAUGGGCGCAAGCCUGAUCCAGCCAUACCGCGUGGGUGAAGAAGGCCUUCGGGUUGUAAAGCCCUUUUGUUGGGAAAGAAAAGCAGCAGGUUAAUACCCCGCUGUUCUGACGGUACCCAAAGAAUAAGCACCGGCUAACUUCGUG
RNAcentral lists this ribosomal RNA (491 nucleotides) under uncultured bacterium. Its description in RNAcentral is "partial 16S ribosomal RNA". It matches the Rfam family "Bacterial small subunit ribosomal RNA", at positions 29 to 507 of the family's 1533-position model. The record is from RNAcentral.